AAAGUUGUUGCAGUUAAAAAGCUCGUAGUUGGAUUUCGGGACGGCACGGUCGGUCCGCCGCAAGGUGUGUCACUGGCCGGGCUGUUCUUCCUCGCAAAGACUGCGUGUGCUCUUAGCUGAGUGUGCGCAGGACUUGCGACGUUUACUUUGAAAAAAUUAGAGUGUUCAAAGCAGGCCAUCGCUUGAAUACAUAAGCAUGGAAUAAUGGAAUAGGACUUUGGUUCUAUUUUGUUGGUUUCUGGAACCGAAGUAAUGAUUAAGAGGGACAGUUGGGGGCAUUCGUAUUUCGUUGUCAGAGGUGAAAUUCUUGGAUUUACGAAAGACGAACUACUGCGAAGCAUUUGCCAAGAUGUUUUCAUUAAUCAAGAACGAAAGUUAGAGGAUCGAAGACGAUCAGAUACCGUCCUAGUUCUAACCAUAAACGAUGCCGACUAGGGAUCAG
This 442-nucleotide ribosomal RNA is filed under the name Nematostella vectensis (starlet sea anemone). RNAcentral's name for it is "Eukaryotic small subunit ribosomal RNA". It matches the Rfam family "Eukaryotic small subunit ribosomal RNA", at positions 606 to 1056 of the family's 1831-position model. Lineage: Eukaryota; Metazoa; Cnidaria; Anthozoa; Actiniaria; Edwardsiidae. The record is from Rfam by way of RNAcentral.